This is a long non-coding RNA of Bos taurus (domestic cattle), 1825 nucleotides long. The record is from Ensembl. NCBI's taxonomy places the organism in Eukaryota, Metazoa, Chordata, Mammalia, Artiodactyla, Bovidae.
ACGAGUCCUUGUAAGUGGGAAUCAGACUCAAAUUUGAAGACACUAUGCUGCUGGUUUUGAAGAUGGAGGAAGGGGCCAGGAGCCCGGAAGUUCAGACAGCCUCUAGACAGUUUCCCAGAGCCUCCAGAAAAAAGGCUGCCCUUUAACACUUUGAUUCUCACCUCAUGCGACCGACUUCAGGCUUCUGAUCUACAUAAUGAAACUUGAAGAUCUUUUGGUGACUCUUUGGGAUGGAGCUUGGAGAGAUGGGUAGAGAAGAUUGAAGGGAUUAUGGGAAGUAAGAGACGAUGGAAAGAAGAUUCCAAAAGAGAGUCACUGGACACCCAUCAGAGGAGGACACUGCGUGGAACAGAGAGAAAACAAGAGAAAGGAUCCUUGAAGGAGGGAAGUAGAAGCAGGUGGUCAAUUAAGAAGCUCCUGCAGCCAUCAAGACAACAGUUGCACCGGGCAACUCCGAGCGGAGAGAGAGGUACCAUCACAAAAGCCCUGUUGGCUGAGGAGACUGAGGCACACAGGCAUACAGGAAUCGGCAGAGCUGGGUUUUGAGCCCAGGCAGUGUGGAUGUAUCUUGGGCUUCCAACCUAUAUAGUACACUCCCCGCUGUUGAUGAGGGCUGAGUCAUCCUUUUCACUGAUGCAACCUCUUCAAUGUUCAUGCUGCCUCUGGCUGAGAUGAUUGGAUGGUGUUUGCCAUCAGUGCCUCUAAGACUCCUCACUCUCACUGCAGAGGGCCCAGGUUCGAUCCCUUGUCAGGGAAAUAGAUCCCACAUACAGCCACUGAAGUUCUCACGUCCUGCAACAGAAGAUCCUGUGUGCAGCAACUAAGACCCAGAGCAGCCAAAUAAAUAAAUAUUUUUUAAAAGUAACUCCUUUUAUGUUUAGACAGCUCUGAGAUUCUUCUUUGUUAAAGAAACUGGCCUCCCAAGACUUGAAGAGGCACAAUUUUGUUCUGCAAUCUCCUCUGCGUGACACCUCUCACGUGUGUGAAGAUAGUUCUUGCAGCUUCCUCGGGUCCUCUUUCUGCUUAUCUAGACCAAGCUCCCUGACAGUGCCUUCCUCGGUUCAGGCUCAGAUAUCACUUCUGCAGGAGACACCCUUCAUUCAUGAGGUCAUUCAUUCAUCCAAACUUUAUUAACAACUCAUUGUGUACCAUGUACUUGAUAGAACCUAGAAAUACAGAAAUGAAGGUAUAGUUCCUACCUUCAAGAAAUACAGCAUCCAUCGGGAGAGGGGGACGUUUAAAGAAAUAAUUGUAACAUCACUGGCAAGUGCUGUAACAGGGAUAUGGUGCGACACAAGGGCCACUCAGUCCAACGACUGACUUUUAAACUGGCCAUGCUAGGGCAUUCAUUUUACCAUAAUUAUCUUGCAUGGUGAUCACCGGAACUAAAAAGACUAGAAGAAUUCUAAAAAGAGUACUUCCACCACUCUGAUCUAAAUGUGAUAAUCCUAAGAAUGCAGCCCAGAACUGUAAUUAAUUUAUUUAGCAGAUGACUAACUUAAAAAAAAACUUCUGGCAUUAAUUUCAUGAAAUGCAAUUAGGUCCAUCCUGUGCAAAUGAAAAAAAAAAAAAAAAAACAGAUGGAAGGAUAGAUAGAUAGAGUGACAGUAGACAGAUAUAGGAAGUAUUUUAUAUUUAUUCAUCCUUGGUAAAUACCUUCUCAUUUCAGUCUAGCAAAACACUCAGAUACAGCGCCAGGCCUAAGAAGCAGGGUUGAAUUUCCAAUUCUGCUUCUUCUAGCUGCAGGAACUACCUCUUUAGUCUAUUUAGGGGAUUAAAAGAAAUAAUGAAUGAAAUUAUCUAGCGUAUCUCCAGCCUCAAGCUU